RNAcentral lists this non-coding RNA (29 nucleotides) under Rattus norvegicus (Norway rat). The record is from RNAcentral. Lineage: Eukaryota; Metazoa; Chordata; Mammalia; Rodentia; Muridae.
UGAAGGAUUUGCUGAUGCUGCUUUGUGGC